AUACUUACCUGGGCAGGAGUUUUUUGGUGGCUAUGAAGGCCAAUGGCCUACACUCGGCUUUCCCAUUGCACUUCGGUUGCCCAGCCUACCAUCUUCCCAAAGUGGAGGAGUGGACGUUGUAAGUUGAGGGCUUGCGUACGUGUGGGA
This 147-nucleotide small nuclear RNA is filed under the name Selaginella moellendorffii. RNAcentral's name for it is "snRNA U1". It matches the Rfam family "U1 spliceosomal RNA". From Rfam's summary of the family: U1 is a small nuclear RNA (snRNA) component of the spliceosome (involved in pre-mRNA splicing). Lineage: Eukaryota; Viridiplantae; Streptophyta; Lycopodiopsida; Selaginellales; Selaginellaceae. The record is from RNAcentral.